Molecule: long non-coding RNA, 1962 nt
Organism: Anolis carolinensis (green anole)
Lineage: Eukaryota; Metazoa; Chordata; Lepidosauria; Squamata; Anolidae
Source: Ensembl
AUGGAGUCCAUGGAUUUUGCACUAAUUGAGCUGUCACUUGGUCAUCAGAAACAGUCUUGUUCAUAUAAAGUGGUUUCCUUGACAGUGCUUGGACUCGAUGAACCAAUGGCAGAGACUUCAAUUUCCACAGUUUCCUCAGUUUUCACCUGCAAUCCAGCUGCUGAAGAAAGGAAGAGAGGCCGACCAAGGGCGAGAUGGAUGGACGGUAUCCUUGAAAGUGACUGGCUUGAUCUUGAAGGAACUGGGGGCGGUGACGGCAGACAGGGAGCUCUGGCGUGGACUGGUCCAUGAGGUCACGAAGAGUUGGAAACGACUAUGUGAUUGAGCAGCAGCAGUAUGUUUGAUCAUAAACAUGCCAUCAUCAUGAUUACAACUAACAUUAUUUUUUACAAAAAAAAAACCCCAAUCCUCAUCUAAUAUAAAAGUAAUUGCACCAUUAAAAGAAUUAAAUGGAGGUGAUUGUCAAAUCACCUCUGGCUUAUGCCCAUAUUUACCACGUUUAGCCCUACCCUGGCCCAUAUUGCCAUCUUGUUCAAUUUAUAUUUUAUACCAAUUGGCUGUAGAAUCACCCAAGGGAGCGAUUGCAUUUGCUUCUAUUAAGGCAUUAUAUUGUUUUAAAAUGUUGGAAUUUUAAAUAUGUUUUGUUAAUUGCCGUUAUAUUGGUUUCUUCUAUUUUGUAUGAUGUAUAUGUAUUGAAUGUUUUAUUAUGUGUAAACCGCUCUGAGUCCCCACGUGAGAUAGAGUGGUAUAUAAAUAAAGUUUUGUUGUUGUUGUUGUUGUUAUUUAUUCUAAAACAAUUCAAUGUAAAUAAUAAUUUGAGAUACCUUAUGUUGCAAUGUUAUAUUUCAUUUCUAAUAGAAAUGUGUAUUCUUUCUAUUUAUCGUGAUACAGCUUGUUAAUUCCAGUGAAUAGACAGAUAUGCAAUGCUGUUGCUGUAAGCCACUUAGAGACAGAUAAUUCAUAGAACUGCAUUACAUAUGAGUUCAUUAUAAUAACAUUAACCAGGCUAGUUCACAAUAAGGCCUAUCUAGUUCUGCUUUUUAUACUGUCCACUAGGGAUGCACAAUCCAUAAAGAAUGGUUCAAAAGUUAUUACAAAACUGGGGGGUGGGAGUGCUGGUGUUUCAUUCCUAAAGUGUUUCUAAAAUGUUUCUAGUGAAAAUUUUGUUACUAUAACAAGAGUAAUGAAAUUUUGUUACUAUUUCGUUAUAGUAAUUGCUCAUGCGCAUAACUACUAUAAUUGGGGAAAAUUCAUGGGCUCAUUUCUCCUUCAUUUUUAUAGUUAUUGGGGUGAAAUUUGCUAUAGUAGUAGAAUACAUUUACCAUUCUUAGUCCACCAAAUUUCAGAAUGUUUCACCUAUCCACUGACUUUUGGGGAAUUCUCAUUUUUUUUAUAAACAACAUUUUUAAUAAUAAAGAAAAUAUGUUCCCAGACUGAAAGUAUUAUUUCCUGUUUAACUGAAUAGUCCCUACUUUGAAAAUAAUUUUCUACACUGGGAACUUUGUGUUGUGCCCAAUUUUUUGUUAAAUGGGUGGAUGAUAAUGUUAAAUUGGUGAUCUGGGUAGCAAAAUGUGCUAUAACAUGAUGUCCCUCACUCAAAGACAAUGUUUUGCAGUUUAAUAAACUUUUGCCAUGUUUUUAUGAUAGAACCAUUUAGAAAAUGACAUUUAUAACCCAGGAACAAAAACCAUAGUGUAGAAACCCUCAAAACAUCCCCAACAGAUGACCAUCUAGCCUCUGAAUAAUAAUAAUAUUAAGAAGAAGAAGAAGAAGAUGUUCCUAGUUUGAAAGUGUUAUUUCUUGUUUAAUUUGCAGUCCUUAUUAGGAAAUGACAUUUAUAACCCAGGAACAAAAAUAAUAAUUUAUUGGAAUUCUGGUUGGCUACGGAAGGGAAAAUCUUUCUGAUGCUGAGCAGUGCACAGUGUAGUUUAGGGCAGGGCCUUUUGAAUUCUCUGGCAUAUG